Molecule: long non-coding RNA, 274 nt
Organism: Osmerus eperlanus (European smelt)
Lineage: Eukaryota; Metazoa; Chordata; Actinopteri; Osmeriformes; Osmeridae
Exons: 3
Source: RefSeq, a predicted model, not a curated record
CUGGCAGAGUCCUGGAGGGUUGUGGAGGACGCUGGAGCGGCUUAUCCUUCAGCCCUGGAUGACGAGCUGGCAGGACUAGGCAGGGUGGUGACUGGUGGUGCAUGUGCGAAGAUGCUUCCCGUCCCCCAGACCAGCUACUGUGUUCUUCCAGCAAUCAAAAGUUCCUCUCACCCAGUGGAACCAAUCAGAGCAUCGGCCUCUGAAACACCCGGGCCCCUGGGCUGCAGAGCCACACCAGAUGGAAGGGAGAGUGCGUACUCCUCUCCACCUGCGU